UCAUUGCUCUGUCAGUGGUUUGAGAUACAGUGUAUGAAAAUGCCAUAUAAAUGCAAAUAUAAAUACAAACACUGAAUUUCCCCUGUUGGCUACUGAUAAGCUUUAACUGAAGAAGAAACAAGCAGCUUUGCCUUUCUCCAUGGUUACCUGUGUGACAGACUGGGAGGAUACCUCGCUAAUUAAAUUAGAAUGAGGGUUAAGCUGUAAACUUUUUGUUGGAAAUCCCAGCUUUUAGAGAGCACAUAGCUUAUUAGCACCUUUUCUCCUCAGAAAAAGCAACCACUGUGCCUGAGUUACGGAGCCUGCACCUCCCCCUGGAGCAGAGCAGUUACAGCUGUGUUUCUGCAGGCACUGGAGCACAGCUGGGGAUGUUGCACAGCCCAGCAGUGUACAGACAGGAUCCUCCUGACUGUGCAUGAAGCUGUUCCUUCCCCAGCGUGGCAGCUUGUGCACCUACUGAUGGCCCUUGAAACUGUUUCCCCAGGGCUUGUUAAUGGGACAUCUACACUUGGUGUCACAACCCAAUUUUUGUUCAUUUGCUCACCUGCUUGUGGGAUCACAAACUGGGAAUGUCAGAGUUUUUCCUCCAGAGUUGUCACUCGCAGUCCUUCUCUAGGGGACACCUUUCCAAUUCAGUGCUUAGGUCAAUUAAUGCUCAUAUUACCACUAAUUGAGUUGCUCCAAGAGCUACAAGGAAAAUCAAAUGGGACAUAGAGACAAUUACUCCAGGAGCUCUGCGUGCCCAAGACAAUUUGGAGCAUCACAGCCUCCUCAUCUUUCUGGGGACGUGUGCCUUGGAUGGAACAGUUUGCUCAGGAGGGCAUUUCAGCUUACACAGAGGAGCUUGCCACUCUUCUACUCAUCUCACCUAGAGAAAUCCCAUCCACUAGCAGCACAGGAAGCCCCAGUCUGUUAUUUGAAGAAUGCUUAUUCACACAAUUGGAAUGGAAGCAACGUCCUAUGGCUGGCUGACCGACCACAGAGAGUGCGUAAUUAGUCAGAGUGGAAGCCUGAAGCUGAUAUACUGACAUAAAAACAUUUACCUGUGCCUUUGUCUGAUGGUAAAAAUUAUGAAUACGGAUGGCAAAACUGGGAUCAGCUCUCUGCAAUUCAGAUGCAUAAAGUGCAUUACAUUUACAGGAAACAGUCUGUAAAAGUAGUAACGCAAAAUGAAUGUGUGUAUUAAUAUAUGUGGUGAUAACUUUUUCUUGUUGGCAAAUGAAAGCACUCUUGAUGGGAAACUUCUCAAAGUGGUGGGAUUUAAAGGGAUUGCUUAAUUUUAUAAAGAGUUUCUGUACAGACAUGCAUGCACACACAUUUUUUGGCAAGUUCUCAUGAGC
RNAcentral lists this long non-coding RNA (1340 nucleotides) under Gallus gallus (chicken). Its description in RNAcentral is "lncRNA (ENSGALG00010016268.1)". The record is from RNAcentral. Lineage: Eukaryota; Metazoa; Chordata; Aves; Galliformes; Phasianidae.